AAAAAAAUGAAAUUGAAACUUUGCGUCUUGAAAGAAGAGAGAUUAACACUCUAAUUUCCAAUCGCCACUAUCAACAUUACUGGUAUACUUGAACUUCUACAAUUCUUUGAAAUUAAACCAAGUCUUCACCCAAACCUUGGCUUCAUAAAGCUUCUUCUUCCCAGCCUCGAUUUCUUCAAGGGUAAGGUGAUGCAGAGUCCCUGCCACUGCUUGCUCCUUCUCUUUUGCCUUUGCGACUCUAGCAAACUCUAGCAUCACAUUAUACAUAUGAAUUUCAAACACAACCAAAAUUCUCUCUCAACAAUCAAACCA
This 312-nucleotide unclassified non-coding RNA is filed under the name Hevea brasiliensis (rubber tree). The record is from RNAcentral. Lineage: Eukaryota; Viridiplantae; Streptophyta; Magnoliopsida; Malpighiales; Euphorbiaceae.